RNAcentral lists this ribosomal RNA (253 nucleotides) under uncultured bacterium. RNAcentral describes it as "partial 16S ribosomal RNA". It matches the Rfam family "Bacterial small subunit ribosomal RNA", at positions 524 to 776 of the family's 1533-position model. The record is from RNAcentral.
CACGUAGGGACCAAGCGUUGUCCGGAUUUAUUGGGCGUAAAGAGCUCGUAGGCGGUCGUGUAAGUCGGGUGUGAAAUCUCCAGGCUCAACUUGGAGGGGCCACCCGAUACUGCUCGACUCGAGUCCGGUAGGGGAGUGGGGAAUUCCUGGUGUAGCGGUGAAAUGCGCAGAUAUCAGGAGGAACACCGGUGGCGAAGGCGCCACUCUGGGCCGGUACUGACGCUGAGGAGCGAAAGCGUGGGUAGCAAACAGG